This 253-nucleotide ribosomal RNA is filed under the name uncultured bacterium. RNAcentral describes it as "partial 16S ribosomal RNA". It matches the Rfam family "Bacterial small subunit ribosomal RNA", at positions 524 to 776 of the family's 1533-position model. The record is from RNAcentral.
UACGUAGGGGGCGAGCGUUGUUCGGAUUGACUGGGCGUAAAGGGCGUGUAGGCGGUUGGUCAAGUCCGAUGUGAAAGCCCGAGGCUUACCCUCGGAAGUGCAUCGGAAACUAGCCAGCUGGAGCGCGAUAGAGGAGGGUAGAAUUCCUGGUGUAGCGGUGAAAUGCGUAGAUAUCAGGAGGAACACCUGUGGUGUAGACAGCUUACUGGACCAUUUCUGACGCUGAGACACGAAAGCGUGGGUAGCAAACAGG